Molecule: unclassified non-coding RNA, 240 nt
Filed under: soil metagenome
Description: partial contains 5.8S ribosomal RNA, internal transcribed spacer 2, and large subunit ribosomal RNA
Source: RNAcentral
AACAUCGCGCACCUGCGGGAACCUGCGGAAGGAUCAUUACAGAGUUGCAAAACUCCCUAAACCAUUGUGAACGUUACCUAAACCGUUGCUUCGGCGGGCGGCGCGCCCUCGCGCGCGCCCCUGGGCCCCACCGCGGGCGCCCGCCGGAGGUCACCAAACUCUUGAUAUUAAUUGGCCUCUCUGAGUCUUCUGUACUGAAUAAGUCAAAACUUUUAGCAACGGAUCUCAGAUCGGAAGAGC